RNAcentral lists this long non-coding RNA (358 nucleotides) under Fukomys damarensis (Damara mole-rat). Its description in RNAcentral is "lncRNA (ENSFDAG00000030321.1)". Lineage: Eukaryota; Metazoa; Chordata; Mammalia; Rodentia; Bathyergidae. The record is from RNAcentral.
AGCUUGUGACUUUUUCCCUUGUAACUCAGCCAUGAUCAUGGGAGGAGGCCCAAGCCGCCUGUGAAGAGGUCCAAGUGGAAAGGCACCGAGGUCCCUGACCCUCAGCCUUAGCUGAGCUCCCAGCUGACAGCCAGCACCAAUUCAUCAGCCCCCUACCCAUCAUCCUGAAAAUGGAUCCCUCAGCCCCAGUGGCACUGUAUUGAUUCAUACUCCAUGGCACAAAGAUGAGCUGAUUCCUGCUGAUGCUGCAAAUGUGUGAGCAGAGGCCUUGUUUAUGGUUUUCUGCUGCUGUACUUUGAGUGUUUUGUCGUACUGUGGUUUGAUUUGCUCACUGGAUAAGAACUUGGACCAAAAGCCA